AUUGAACGCUGGCGGCAGGCCUAACACAUGCAAGUCGAGCGGAUGAAGGGAGCUUGCUCCUGGAUUCAGCGGCGGACGGGUGAGUAAUGCCUAUGAAUCUGCCUGGUAGUGGGGUAUAACGUCCGGAAACGGGCGCUAAUACCGCAUACGUCCUUAGGGAGAAAGUGGGGGAUCUUCGGACCUCUCGCUAUCAGAUGUGCCUAGGUCGGAUUAGCUAGUUGGUGGGGUAAAGGCCUACCAAGGCGACGAUCCGUAACUGGUCUGAGAGGAUGAUCAGUCACACUGGAACUGAGACACGGUCCAGACUCCUACGGGAGGCAGCAGUGGGGAAUAUUGGACAAUGGGCGAAAGCCUGAUCCAGCAAUGCCGCGUGUGUGAAGAAGGUCUUCGGAUUGUAAAGCACUUUAAGUUGGGAGGAAGGGAAGUAAGUUAAUACCUUGCUGUUUUGACGUUACCAAAAGAAUAAGCACCGGCUAACUUCGUG
Molecule: ribosomal RNA, 484 nt
Filed under: uncultured bacterium
Lineage: Bacteria
Description: partial 16S ribosomal RNA
Rfam family: Bacterial small subunit ribosomal RNA
Source: RNAcentral